Long non-coding RNA from Anastrepha ludens (Mexican fruit fly), 2327 nucleotides. RefSeq lists it as uncharacterized. The transcript has 3 exons. The record is from RefSeq and is a predicted model, not a curated record. Lineage: Eukaryota; Metazoa; Arthropoda; Insecta; Diptera; Tephritidae.
GAGAGUUCCCAUAAUGUAAAUGGGUUUCUUGUAAUGCAAUAAUUGCCGGAUUAUAUUCAUUUAACAAGAGUUGCAAUUCAUGCAUUAAUAUUAGAUGAGGCCGAUAAUAUCACAAUUAUGGAGAAAAAAAGGCAGCAGAAAAAAAUUGUAAGAAAGGUGAUCCGCUCUCGAAAGCGUAAAGUUGCUUUGGGUACAUAUGUACUUAUAUGUACAUAUAUGGAGGUAUUUAUUAUGUUCUGUAGCAUGAAAUAACGUUUAAAUUUUCAGAUACGCAGCAUAAUUUUGGCAUGUGGUACUCCAGUGCUUUAAUGGAAUCAAAGCUGAGUAAGCUUUGUUAGUUAGCCGCACCAUUAAUACCAUAAAGUUGAGUCCAUUGACGCCUAAGGAUUACAAAACAGGAGCCAGUCAGCGCUAAGGCUACGGAUAUGAUGAGUCGGCUUGUACUAAUGUAAAGUACUUUGGGCAGUGCUUUACAUUUGCAAGUCUGAGAGAAACUCGAAAGUUCUAGUGCAUUUGCUACUAGGAGUGAGACGAAAUGCUGCAAAUGUAUUAAAUGUGAAUUAAUGGGAUGUGACGAUUUGUAAAAAGGUCUCAUAAAUUGUUGUUUGCUGAAGGCGCUACGUAUAAUUUCUCAUAGUUAUUUAAGAUAGAAAUCAUGGUGAGUUUUUCAGAAUGCAAAGGGCAGGAUUUAAUUUGUCGCAUCAAACACAUCUUUAUCAAACGUAUAUUUUCCUUUUAAGCUAAAAUAUUUUUUUAAUAUGGGAAACUAUGGUCAGUGGACUUAGUACGAUUUAUUUCAAGUUUUAUGAUAGUUUUUAAGCUUUUGUAAAACAUAUAUUUUAUAAGACACUCCUCCGCGUAGACAGGUACCAUAGAUGAUAAGAUGCGAAACUCUUUCAUUUUGCGAGAGGGAGAGAGCGCGCCCAUGAGCCUGUUUCAAAACUUGGCAGCAUUCACACAUUAUGGGAUUUUGAACAGCUGAUGCCGGCGGGACUGCCAGAGAAAUUACGCCAUUGAAAUGUUUAUAAUUAUUUGUCUUAAAAUUAAUUUAAUUGACAGUCACCGACUAACUCUCUUGCCGUACGGUUGUGCGUUUCAAGUGAUAAUCAAUGCUUAGUAAACUCCGCAAGCAUUUGUGCUAGUUCCACGUGCUUUUUUAAUAAUUCCAUUUGUUCACAUUCUUAUUGUUAUACAAAUUACCUGGCUUGUAAAAUAUUUAAAAGAAUAUCACUGAGUGCCUUAUAUGUGUAAAAGCCCCACGAUUCCUUCGGGAAUCGAUUUAGCAUUCUUACCGAUGGUAUGCUAAUUUCCCCGAAGCCAAAACUUAAAAAGGUGAAUAAAGAAGCAUCUUUUCCACCACUAUCAGACGUGACUCAAAAUCAUAAUUGCAAUGAUCCGAAAUUUAUUAUCAUUAAAUCUACCGAUGUGUCCAUCUCUUUAUCAAAAUAUAGAGUUCUGCUAAAAAUAAGGCUAUUGAUGGAAUAAAGACCGAAUACUUAUCAGUAAGCUUACUACGCGAUGGCAGCCUGCUGAUUCUAACAAAAUCUCUCAAGGUUGCUGCAAAAUUUAUGAAAUGCAAAAACUUUAGCGGUCUAUGUCCCGUCUCUAUUACUCUUCACGAACCCCUUAACACUUGUAAACAAUUUUCGACAAGAAUUUGGUAAAUACGGAUGAAAAAGAAAAUCUGGAGACUUUAAAUUCACAAGGAGUUGUGCGUUUAUUCAAAUUUACUAAAAAUAUUAAUAAUGUAAAAGUUCCUGCAGGCAGAAUAGUCCUAUCGUUGAACUUGUACAAAGUUACCCGCACUAUUGACAUAGCGUGGUACUCAGUGAGAGUUGAGGAAUACUUUCCUACUCCCAUGAGAUGCCGCUGAUGCCAACUACUAGGGCACACCAUAAAAAGAUGCAAUAAUAAUACCACGUGUGAAAUUUGUAACUUUCCAUCCCAUUCCACACUGCCAUGUCAACGCACAAUGUGUGCUAACUGUUUUGGGCCUCGCCCCGCCUCUGCCAGAGACUGUCCAAAAUACUUACAAGAGAAAGAGGUAUUAAAAAUUAAGACUCAGAACAAAUGUAGGUAUGCUGAAGCAAGACGCUUAUACAAACAACAAAACCCCAUCAACCUAAGCCAAAUGCAAUCUUACUCGACAAUUCUAAGCUCAACACAAGUUUCCCACCACAAUAUCGCUCACAACUCCAUGGAUCAUACCUUUUCAGUCGCCACUCAACCACUCAACACCAAGGUGGCUUAGUCGAAUCGCUAAUCAGUGAAUGGUAGCGUGGUCGCUUAAUUACUUAAUCCUACUGUAAGUUCUGUUACAAGUUAAG